GCGGUUUUUAUGGAUGUUUUGUUUGUCCGUUUCUCCAUGCCCUCCACCGUCGGGUUUCUGGCGGUGGGGAGGAAUCAAAAACUAGUC
Molecule: non-coding RNA, 87 nt
Filed under: Aspergillus aculeatus ATCC 16872
Lineage: Eukaryota; Fungi; Ascomycota; Eurotiomycetes; Eurotiales; Aspergillaceae
Source: Rfam by way of RNAcentral